CCAAUAGCGUAUAUUAAAGUUGUUGCAGUUAAAAAGCUCGUAGUUGAAUUUUGGGUCUGGCCGGGCGGUCCGCCCUCUGGGUGAGCACUGUUCCGACGCCGGGCCUAUCCUUCUGGUGAGUCGGCAUGUCCUUUAUUGGGUGUGCCGGGGAACCAGGACCAUUACCUUGAAAAAAUUAGAGUGUUCAAAGCAGGCGUAUGCUCGGAUACAUUAGCAUGGAAUAAUGAAAUAGGACGCGUGGUGCUAUUUUGUUGGUUUCUAGAACCGCCGUAAUGAUUAAUAGGGAUAGUUGGGGGCAUUAGUAUUCAAUUGUCAGAGGUGAAAUUCUUGGAUUUAUUGAAGACUAACUUCUGCGAAAGCAUUUGCCAAGGAUGUUUUCAUUAAUCAAGAACGAAAGUUAGGGGAUCGAAGACGAUCAGAUACCGUCGUAGUCUUAACCAUAAACUAUGCCGACUAGGAAUCGGGCGAUGUUAUUCUCAUGACUCGCCCGGCGCCUUAUG
RNAcentral lists this non-coding RNA (500 nucleotides) under uncultured Glomeromycotina. Its description in RNAcentral is "partial small subunit ribosomal RNA". It matches the Rfam family "Eukaryotic small subunit ribosomal RNA", at positions 591 to 1092 of the family's 1831-position model. The record is from RNAcentral. RNAcentral also lists the same sequence under 1 other name. Lineage: Eukaryota; Fungi; Glomeromycota.